RNAcentral lists this transfer RNA (76 nucleotides) under Crenothrix polyspora. RNAcentral's name for it is "tRNA-Thr". It matches the Rfam family "tRNA". Rfam says of the family: Transfer RNA (tRNA) molecules are approximately 80 nucleotides in length. The record is from RNAcentral. Lineage: Bacteria; Pseudomonadati; Pseudomonadota; Gammaproteobacteria; Methylococcales; Crenotrichaceae.
GCCGAUGUAGCUCAGUUGGUAGAGCAACUGAUUCGUAAUCAGUAGGUCGAGGGUUCGACUCCCUUCAUUGGCUCCA